CCCUGUUUAGCAUGCAGGAGGCCCUGGGUUUAAUCCCUAGCACCAAACAUACAAAGAGAGAGAUUACCCAAUGACUGAUUGAUUUACCCAUUCAUUCACUCAUUCAUUCAACAAGCAUCUAUUGCAGUUAGCAUAUGCAAGGCAUUGAGAUGAUGUUAUAACUACAUAGAUAAAUGAGACACAGUCCCUGCCUGCAAGAAGCUCACAAUUUAGGGGUUUAAAUGAGGUAGUAAAAUGUAUGAGGCCAUAGGUUUAUUUUCAUGAAGGCUCAAAGGCUGAAUUGAGCCACAACUCCAGCCCCUGAAUUGACAGUGUUGAAGAAAGAAAAUUGUAUCUGGGGGUGGGAGGAAGCCCCUUCCCUAGAUUAGAGUUGAACUAAAGGGAAGAAAAGGUCUUUUCUUACAUUUAGGUGAAAUUCCUUUAGACUUUUCCAGGGCUCAAAUAAGUAAAUCCCAGAUUUAGAACCUUACCCAUUCCUCCAACACAAAGUGGGUAGGAGGCAGAGAACCUGGGCUAGUC
Molecule: long non-coding RNA, 519 nt
Filed under: Marmota monax (woodchuck)
Lineage: Eukaryota; Metazoa; Chordata; Mammalia; Rodentia; Sciuridae
Source: RNAcentral